This 69-nucleotide transfer RNA is filed under the name Nesophrosyne sp. 295 GMB-2012. Its description in RNAcentral is "tRNA-Gly". The record is from RNAcentral. Lineage: Eukaryota; Metazoa; Arthropoda; Insecta; Hemiptera; Cicadellidae.
AUUCAAUUAGUAUAUGAUUUAUAGUAUGUUAAGCUUCCAACUUAAAGGAUUAAAAAUAUAAAUUGAAUA